This 441-nucleotide ribosomal RNA is filed under the name uncultured bacterium. RNAcentral's name for it is "partial 16S ribosomal RNA". It matches the Rfam family "Bacterial small subunit ribosomal RNA", at positions 338 to 795 of the family's 1533-position model. The record is from RNAcentral.
CCUACGGGAGACAGCAGUGGGGAAUAUUGCACAAUGGGGGAAACCCUGAUGCAGCGACGCCGCGUGAGUGAAGAAGUAUUUCGGUAUGUAAAGCUCUAUCAGCAGGGAAGAAGAAAGACGGUACCUGACUAAGAAGCCCCGGCUAACUACGUGCCAGCAGCCGCGGGAAUACGUAGGGGGCAAGCGUUAUCCGGAUUUACUGGGUGUAAAGGGAGCGUAGACGGCUGUGCAAGUCUGAAGUGAAAGCCCAGGGCUCAACCCUGGGACUGCUUUGGAAACUGUGGAGCUAGAGUGCUGGAGAGGUAGGUGGAAUUCCUAGUGUAGCGGUGAAAUGCGUAGAUAUUAGGAGGAACACCAGUGGCGAAGGCGGCUUACUGGACAGUAACUGACGUUGAGGCUCGAAAGCGUGGGGAGCAAACAGGAUUAGAUACCCGGGUAGUC